GGCCCGCCCGCCGGGGCCCCUCACGCCGGGGCUGCUCCGCCGGGACCGCUCGGGCCGCUGGUCGGUCCGGGGAUUAUCAGCGAUCCCGGACCGAGCUCGCCGUGCCGGUGUCACACACAGGACUGCAGGAAUUCCAGUCUCCACGUGAACGGCGCUUCCUCGCUGCAGGGAACAAGCCGGGUGCCUGGUCAGCAGCAGCAGGGAUGAGAUCUCUUUCCAGCCUAGGAAAGAGAUGAUAUCCUGGUGUUCAAAUCAGGAUUUCCUGGCUUUGUGCUGGUGUGUAGAGAUUGCAUCGCCACCCGGAGAGAGAGGAGGGAAUUUCUGGGAAAUGCAUUGUUUCAAAGAAAUCACACAAAAUUGAUGUUGUUUGCAUGUCCCACUUUGUAGGUGAAGUGCUGAUAAACAGUGAAAAUUCACUGCUGGCUGCAAUAGAGCCACCAUAGAAAAUAGAUUCACUUGUAAGUAAAAACACCAUUUUAGUAAGUAAUAAAAUAAAAUAAAAUAAAAUAAAAUAAAAUAAAAUAAAAU
Molecule: long non-coding RNA, 528 nt
Organism: Melospiza melodia melodia
Lineage: Eukaryota; Metazoa; Chordata; Aves; Passeriformes; Passerellidae
Exons: 2
Source: RefSeq, a predicted model, not a curated record